This 492-nucleotide ribosomal RNA is filed under the name uncultured bacterium. RNAcentral's name for it is "partial 16S ribosomal RNA". It matches the Rfam family "Bacterial small subunit ribosomal RNA", at positions 29 to 507 of the family's 1533-position model. The record is from RNAcentral.
AGUGAACGCUGGCGGUAGGCCUAACACAUGCAAGUCGAACGGCAGCACAGUAAGAGCUUGCUCUUACGGGUGGCGCGUGGCGGACGGGUGAGGAAUACAUCGGAAUCUACUUUUUCGUGGGGGCUAACGUAGGGAAACUUACGCUAAUACCGCAUACGACCUACGGGUGAAAGCAGGGGAUCUUCGGACCUUUCGCGAUUGAAUGAGCCUAUGUCGGAUUAGCUAGUUGGCGGGGUAAAGGCCCAACAAGGCGACGAUCCGUAGCUGGUCUGAGAGGAUGAUCAGCCACACUGGAACUGAGACACGGUCCAGACUCCUACGGGAGGCAGCAGUGGGGAAUAUUGGACAAUGGGCGCAAGCCUGAUCCAGCCAUACCGCGUGGGUGAAGAAGGCCUUCGGGUUGCAAAGCCCUUUUGUUGGGAAAGAAAAGCAGCAGGUUAAUACCCCGCUGUUCUGACGGUACCCAAAGAAUAAGCACCGGCUAACUUCGUG